Molecule: long non-coding RNA, 253 nt
Filed under: Elaeis guineensis (African oil palm)
Lineage: Eukaryota; Viridiplantae; Streptophyta; Magnoliopsida; Arecales; Arecaceae
Description: long non-coding RNA (EGUI_LNC012337)
Source: RNAcentral
AUGGACCUAACAAAUAUCUAAUAUGAGACAUCCGAUCUUUAGAUUAGACCUCACAAAUAUCUAAUGUGAGAUAUCUGAUCUCUAGAUUAGACCUCAUAAAUAUCUAACGUGAGACAUUUGAUCUCUGAAUUAGACAUCAUAGACAUCAACUUAAUACAUUCGAGCUCUAGCUUGAACUCUUAGAUGACAUGCUCUUGAAAGGAUAGAAGAUGGGACACCUCAACUCAAGUUGGAACCCCAUCAACUAAAUCUA